This 65-nucleotide transfer RNA is filed under the name Myrmecophilus manni (Mann's ant cricket). RNAcentral describes it as "tRNA-Asn". Lineage: Eukaryota; Metazoa; Arthropoda; Insecta; Orthoptera; Myrmecophilidae. The record is from RNAcentral.
UGUCUAAAACCAAAAUAGAGGUCUAUCACUGUUAAUGAUAUCAUUGAAAUUCAUUCUAGACAAAG